UGCGACGCGAAAUUCGCCCUUCUUGGUCAUUUAGAGGAGUAAAAGUCGUAACAAGGUUUCCGUAGGUGAACCUGCGGAAGGAUCAUUAAGAACGCCCCGUUUUUUGAAAUGGGUAAUUCCCAAACCGUGUCUAUAUCCUUUGUUGCUUUGGCAGGUCGCCUUCUAGGAGGCGUCGGCUCCGGCUGCUGCGCCUGCCAGAGGACCCAAACUCGUUUUGUUUAGUGUCGUCUGAGUCUAUAUAAUAGUUAAAACUUUCAACAACGGAUCUCUUGGUUCUGGCAUCAUGAAGAACGCAGCGAAAUGCGAUAAGUAAUGUGAAUUGCAGAAUUCAGGAAUCAUCGAAUCUUUGAACGCACAUUGCGCCCCUUGGUAUUCCGAGGGCAUGCCUGUUCGAGCGUCAUUAUAACCACUCAAGUUUCGACUUGGUAUUGGGUUCGCGGUUUCGCGGCCCUUAAAAUCAGUGGCGGUGCCGUCUGGCUUAAGCGUAGUAAUUCUCUCGCUACAGGGUCCGGGUGGUUGCUUGCCAGAUCCCCCACUUUUAUAGGUUGACCUCGGAUCAGGUAGGGAUACCCGCUGACUUAAGCAUAUCAAUAAGCGGAGGA
RNAcentral lists this ribosomal RNA (602 nucleotides) under uncultured fungus. RNAcentral's name for it is "eukaryotic LSU rRNA". The stretch from base 250 to 400 matches the Rfam family "5.8S ribosomal RNA". The record is from RNAcentral. Lineage: Eukaryota; Fungi.